UGGGGAAUAUUGGACAAUGGGCGAAAGCCUGAUCCAGCAACGCCGCGUGAGGGAUGACGGCCUACGGGUUGUAAACCUCUUUCAGCGGGGACGAAGCGCAAGUGACGGUACCCGCAGAAGAAGCACCGGCCAACUACGUGCCAGCAGCCGCGGUAAUACGUAGGGUGCGAGCGUUGUCCGGAAUUAUUGGGCGUAAAGGGCUCGUAGGCGGUUUGUCACGUCGGGAGUGAAAACUCGGGGCUUAACCCCGAGCCUGCUUCCGAUACGGGCUGACUAGAGGUAUGCAGGGGAGAACGGAAUUCCUGGUGUAGCGGUGAAAUGCGCAGAUAUCAGGAGGAACACCGGUGGCGAAGGCGGUUCUCUGGGCAUUACCUGACGCUGAGGAGCGAAAGUGUGGGGAGCGAACAGGAUUAGAUACCCUGGUAGUCCACACCGUAAACGUUGGGCGCUAGGUGUGGGACUCAUUCCACGAGUUCCGUGCCGCAGCUAACGCAUUAAGCGCCCCGCCUGGGGAGUACGGCCGCAAGGCUAA
RNAcentral lists this ribosomal RNA (532 nucleotides) under uncultured Nocardioidaceae bacterium. RNAcentral's name for it is "bacterial SSU rRNA". It matches the Rfam family "Bacterial small subunit ribosomal RNA", at positions 355 to 897 of the family's 1533-position model. Lineage: Bacteria; Bacillati; Actinomycetota; Actinomycetes; Propionibacteriales; Nocardioidaceae. The record is from RNAcentral.